UGAGUUAGUAUGACAGGGUAUAAUCUUUCACCUUUUACUAAAGAUUUCCGUGAAGAGAACUACCUGAGUUCUUAGCUGAAUUCUUGAGGCCUUGCUUCAGCAGGGC
RNAcentral lists this small nuclear RNA (106 nucleotides) under Loxodonta africana (African savanna elephant). Its description in RNAcentral is "U5 spliceosomal RNA (ENSLAFG00000032894.1)". The record is from RNAcentral. Lineage: Eukaryota; Metazoa; Chordata; Mammalia; Proboscidea; Elephantidae.